UUACAAGAGAACAAUUAGAUU
This 21-nucleotide non-coding RNA is filed under the name Caenorhabditis elegans. The record is from RNAcentral. Lineage: Eukaryota; Metazoa; Nematoda; Chromadorea; Rhabditida; Rhabditidae.